UAAUACGGGAGGCAGCAGUGGGGAAUAUUGCACAAUGGGCGCAAGCCUGAUGCAGCCAUGCCGCGUGUAUGAAGAAGGCCUUCGGGUUGUAAAGUACUUUCAGCAGUGAGGAAGGUGGGUAUGUUAAUAGCAUACUCAUUUGACGUUAGCUGCAGAAGAAGCACCGGCUAACUCCGUGCCAGCAGCCGCGGUAAUACGGAGGGUGCGAGCGUUAAUCGGAAUUACUGGGCGUAAAGCGCAUGCAGGUGGAUGAUUAAGUCAGAUGUGAAAGCCCGGGGCUCAACCUCGGAAUAGCAUUUGAAACUGGUCAUCUAGAGUACUGUAGAGGGGGGUAGAAUUUCAGGUGUAGCGGUGAAAUGCGUAGAGAUCUGAAGGAAUACCGGUGGCGAAGGCGGCCCCCUGGACAGAUACUGACACUCAAAUGCCAAAGCGUGGGGAGCAAACAGGAUUAAAUACCCUGGUAGUCCACGCCGGUAACGAUGUCUACUUGGAAGUUGUGGCCUUGAGCCCUGGCUUUC
This 518-nucleotide ribosomal RNA is filed under the name bacterium A3M_VP7_F9. Its description in RNAcentral is "bacterial SSU rRNA". It matches the Rfam family "Bacterial small subunit ribosomal RNA", at positions 337 to 847 of the family's 1533-position model. The record is from RNAcentral.